Molecule: ribosomal RNA, 1524 nt
Filed under: human gut metagenome
Description: bacterial LSU rRNA
Rfam family: Bacterial large subunit ribosomal RNA
Source: RNAcentral
AGCGGGGCCCAUCCCGUAAGGCUAAAUACUCCCGAGAGACCGAUAGCGAACCAGUACUGUGAAGGAAAGGUGAAAAGAACCUCGAACAGAGGAGUGAAAAAGACCCUGAAACCAUGCGCCUACAAGCGGUCGGAGCAUGUUAAAAUGUGACGGCGUGCCUUUUGCAUAAUGAACCUACGAGUUACUCUCGCUGGCAAGGUUAAGCGAUUCAGUCGCGCAGCCGAAGCGAAAGCAAGUCCGAACAAGGCGUACAGUCAGCGGGAGUAGACGCGAAACCAAGUGAUCUACCCUUGGUCAGGUUGAAGGUUGGGUAACACCAACUGGAGGACCGCACCGAUAAGCGUUGAAAAGCUUACGGAUGAACUGAGGGUAGGAGUGAAAGGCCAAUCAAACUUGGAGAUAGCUCGUACUCCCCGAAAUGCAUUUAGGUGCAGCCUCGAAGCAGAGUGAUAGAGGUAGAGCGACUGAUAAGAUGCGAGGGCUUCACCGCCUAUCAAGUCUUGACAAACUCCGAAUACUAUCACUUGAUCUUUGGGAGUGAGGGCAUGGGUGCUAAGGUCCAUGUCCGAAAGAGGAACAACUCAGACCACCGGCUAAGGUCCCGAAAUAAGGGCUAAGUUGAACAAACGAAGUAAAACUGCAAAGACAGCUAGGAUGUUGGCUUGGAAGCAGCCAUUCAUUUAAAGAGUGCGUAACAGCUCACUAGUCGAGGAGUUUUGCAUGGAUAAUAAUCGGGCAUAAGCCCUUUACCGAAGCUGUGGAUGUCGUAAGACAUGGUAGGGGAGCAUUCCGGCGGCGACGAAGGCCGUCCUCGAGGACGACUGGAGCUUUCGGAAAAGCAAAUGUAGGUAUAAGUAACGAUAAAGGGGGCGCGAAACCCCCUCGCCAUAAGACUAAGGAUUCCUGAUCAACGCUAAUCGGAUCAGGGUAAGUCGGGCCCUAAGGCGCAGCCGAACGGCGCAGCCGAUGGAAGAAACGGUAAAAAUUCCGUUACUGGAUAUAGGAGCGAUGUGGAGACGGAGAAGUGACACACCCGCCUGCCGACGGAAGCGCAGGUUAAAGGAAGUAGGUAAACGCCGGGCAGGCAAAUCCGCCUGGCGUGCCGAAGCUGACAGUAUCGAGAGCCCCCGGGCAAUCGAAUAGCGGUGGUAAUCAGGCUCCCAAGAAAAUCCGCUAAGCAUAUUCUAUAUUCACCCGUACCCCAAACGGACACACGUAGUCGGGUAGAAUAUACCAAGGCGCUCGAAAGACUCACGGUUAAGGAACUAGGCAAAUUGACCCUGUAACCUCGGGAAAAAGGGUCCCCAGUAAGAUGGGGCGCAGAGAAUAGGUCCAGGCAACUGUUUAACAAAAACACAGGGCUGUGCAAAAUUUCAAGAUGAAGUAUACAGCCUGACACCUGCCCGGUGCCGGAAGGUUAAGAGGAGAGCUUAUCGCAAGAGAAGGCUUGAAUUGAAGCCCCGGUAAACGGCGGCCGUAACUAUAACGGUCCUAAGGUAGCGAAAUUCCUUGUCGGGUAAGUUC